RNAcentral lists this ribosomal RNA (253 nucleotides) under uncultured bacterium. RNAcentral describes it as "partial 16S ribosomal RNA". It matches the Rfam family "Bacterial small subunit ribosomal RNA", at positions 524 to 776 of the family's 1533-position model. The record is from RNAcentral.
UACGUAGGGGGCAAGCGUUGUCCGGAAUCACUGGGCGUAAAGCGCACGUAGGUGGACUUUCAAGUCAGGGGUGAAAUCCCGGGGCUCAACCUCGGAACUGCCUUUGAUACUGUUGGUCUUGAGUCCGGAAGAGGUGAGUGGAAUUCCUAGUGUAGAGGUGAAAUUCGUAGAUAUUAGGAAGAACACCGGUGGCGAAGGCGGCUCACUGGUCCGGUACUGACACUGAGGUGCGAAAGCGUGGGGAGCAAACAGG